This is a non-coding RNA of Pseudonaja textilis, 454 nucleotides long. Lineage: Eukaryota; Metazoa; Chordata; Lepidosauria; Squamata; Elapidae. The record is from RefSeq and is a predicted model, not a curated record.
UAUACAAACCAUAUUAAUAGUCCCGUUGUUGGAUAAGCAGAGUCCCAUUGGAUCCCUGUGAAUCUCACUCAAUAUGUGGUUCUUUUGCCAAUAGCAGUGCUUCACAAGGUCCCACUCAAAUUUACCUGCUAUUGCUUAUCUACAGUCCGAGGAUAGAUUUAGGACAGAGGACGUGGUAUCACUAUAGAAAAUCUAUGGAUAUUCAAAUUGAUGUCUGCAAAAUGCUACACUUAUAGAAUUGUAUGUGUUUUGAUCUCUUCAUUUGACCUGAAAUCCUGCCUUUUCUGUUUCUAAUCAUGUUGAAACACACCUAUGUAUUUGGAGAAGCAUGAAAUAGCUUCACAAUCCCAGAAAAACAGCUUGUUGGUCAGUAGUGGGAUCCUACCUUAGUCGCUACUGCUUUGGUGGGUGAUCGUGCAUGAGUGCGCCCCUAACACACACACCCCUAACAAGC